RNAcentral lists this ribosomal RNA (716 nucleotides) under uncultured bacterium. Its description in RNAcentral is "bacterial SSU rRNA". It matches the Rfam family "Bacterial small subunit ribosomal RNA", at positions 28 to 756 of the family's 1533-position model. The record is from RNAcentral.
GACGAACGCUGGCGGCGUGCCUAACACAUGCAAGCUGAGCGGAGGUAAAUGGAGCUUGCUCUAUGAACCUUAGCAGCGAACGGGUGAGUAACACGUAGAUAAUCUGUCCUAUAUUGGGGGAUAGCCCGAUGAAAGUUGGAUUAAUACCGCAUACAGCUAUAUAGUUGCAUGAUUAUAUAGUGAAAGAUUUAUUGAUAUAGGAGGAGUCUGCGGCACAUUAGCUAGUAGGUGAGGUAAGAGCUUACCUAGGCGACGAUGUGUAGCCGGUCUGAGAGGAUGAACGGCCACAAUGGAACUGAGACACGGUCCAUACUCCUACGGGAGGCAGCAGUGGGGAAUAUUGCACAAUGGGGGAAACCCUGAUGCAGCAACGCCGCGUGAGUGAAGAAGGUUUUCGGAUUGUAAAGCUCUGUUAGCAGGGAAGAGGAAGGACGGUACCUGCAGAGGAAGCCACGGCUAACUACGUGCCAGCAGCCGCGGUAAUACGUAGGUGGCAAGCGUUGUUCGGAAUAACUGGGCGUAAAGGAUGCGUAGGCGGUUAAAUAAGUUAUAUGUUAAAUAUAUAGGCUUAACCUGUAGAAAGCAUAUAAAACUGUUUAACUAGAGUGCAGGAGAGGUAAGUGGAAUUCCUAGUGUAGCGGUGAAAUGCGUAGAGAUUAGGAAGAACACCAGUGGCGAAGGCGACUUACUGGACUGUAACUGACGCUGAGGCAUUA